GAUGAACGCUGGCGGCGUGCCUAACACAUGCAAGUCGAGCGAACGGACGAGAAGCUUGCUUCUCUGAUGUCAGCGGCGGACGGGUGAGUAACACGUGGAUAACCUACCUAUAAGACUGGGAUAACUUCGGGGAACCGGAGCUAAUACCGGAUAAUAUUUUGAACCGCAUGGUUCAAAAGUGAGAGACGGUCUUUCUGUCACUUAUAGACGGAUCCGCGCUGCAUUAGCUAGUUGGUAGGGUAACGGCUUACCAAGGCAACGAUGCAUAGACGACCUGAGCGGGUGAUCGGCCACACUGGAACAGAGACACGGUCCAGACUCCUGCGGGAGGCAGCAGUAGGGAAUCUUCCGCAAUGGGCGAGAGCCUGACGGAGCAACGCCGCGGGAGGGAUGAAGGUCCUCGGAUCGUAGAACUCUGUUAGUAGGGGAGAACAUAUGUGUAAGUAACUGUGCACAUCUUGACGGUACCUAAACAGAAAGCCACGGCUAACUACGUG
This 497-nucleotide ribosomal RNA is filed under the name uncultured bacterium. RNAcentral describes it as "partial 16S ribosomal RNA". It matches the Rfam family "Bacterial small subunit ribosomal RNA", at positions 28 to 507 of the family's 1533-position model. The record is from RNAcentral.